This 287-nucleotide unclassified non-coding RNA is filed under the name uncultured fungus. RNAcentral's name for it is "partial contains 5.8S rRNA, ITS2 and 28S rRNA". It matches the Rfam family "Eukaryotic large subunit ribosomal RNA", at positions 669 to 961 of the family's 3401-position model. The record is from RNAcentral. Lineage: Eukaryota; Fungi.
GAGGAGUCGAGGAUUUGCGCGAGUGUUUGGGUGUACAACCCGCACGCGCAAUGAAAGUGAACGUAGGUGAGAGCUUCGGCGCAUCAUCGACCGAUCCUGAUGUAUUCGGAUGGAUUUGAGUCAGAGCAUAUAUGCUGGGACCCGAAAGAUGGUGAACUAUGCCUGGAUAGGUUGAAGUCAGGGGAAACCCUGAUGGAGGACCGUAGCGAUUCUGACGUGCAAAUCGAUCGUAGGAGCUGGGUAUAGGGGCGAAAGACUAAUCGAACCAUCUAGUAGCUGGUUCCUGU